RNAcentral lists this ribosomal RNA (253 nucleotides) under uncultured bacterium. Its description in RNAcentral is "partial 16S ribosomal RNA". It matches the Rfam family "Bacterial small subunit ribosomal RNA", at positions 524 to 776 of the family's 1533-position model. The record is from RNAcentral.
UACGUAGGGCGCAAGCGUUGUCCGGAAUUAUUGGGCGUAAAGAGCUCGUAGGCGGCUGUUCAAGUCGAACGUGAAAACUCGGAGCUCAACUCCGAGCCUGCGUUCGAUACUGGACGGCUAGAGUCUGGUAGGGGGAUCUGGAAUUCCUGGUGUAGCGGUGGAAUGCGCAGAUAUCAGGAGGAACACCGGUGGCGAAGGCGGGAUCCUGGGCCAGUACUGACGCUGAGGAGCGAAAGCGUGGGGAGCAAACAGG